Molecule: regulatory RNA element, 141 nt
Organism: Ilyobacter polytropus DSM 2926
Lineage: Bacteria; Fusobacteriati; Fusobacteriota; Fusobacteriia; Fusobacteriales; Fusobacteriaceae
Rfam family: Ribosomal protein L10 leader
About the family: This family is a putative r-protein leader autoregulatory structure found in B. subtilis and other low-GC Gram-positive bacteria. It is located in the 5' untranslated regions of mRNAs encoding ribosomal proteins L10 and L12 (rplJ-rplL).
Source: Rfam
AUUUAAUAUAUAUCCAAACCAAAGACCGUAGGUGGCACAAGCCUUAAACAUCCUACCGAGGUUGGGGCAAGUUAUCACUAACCUCAAGUAUGCUUUCAACCUCCGUUCCUGUCUUUGGAUCGGGGGUUAUUUUUCAGAAAA